This 220-nucleotide long non-coding RNA is filed under the name Malus domestica (apple). RNAcentral's name for it is "long non-coding RNA (MDOM_LNC016488)". The record is from RNAcentral. Lineage: Eukaryota; Viridiplantae; Streptophyta; Magnoliopsida; Rosales; Rosaceae.
AUGCCGCACCUUUCCAUCCUAGAAGCCUUAUUUUACAAACCUUAACCCUAGCCCAUUGUUUCAAUCUGAUUUCAUUAGGGUUUUAGGUGCCUAUAUAUAUGUGUUUUACUCCUUUGGCCGAAUAUCCACCCUCUACACAAUUCAGAAAUUCAUCCAACCUUAUUUCCCCACCUUGCCGCAGCCAUCAUCACCCUUAGAACCCCUAGCCGCCACUCCUCCA